Molecule: ribosomal RNA, 650 nt
Filed under: uncultured Cylindrotheca
Lineage: Eukaryota; Bacillariophyta; Bacillariophyceae; Bacillariales; Bacillariaceae
Description: bacterial SSU rRNA
Rfam family: Bacterial small subunit ribosomal RNA
Source: RNAcentral
AAUUUACCUUUAGGAGGGGGAUAACAACUGGAAACGGUUGCUAAUACCCCAUAUGCUUUCGAGUGAAAUGGAUUUUUCCGCCUAAAGAGGAGCUUGCGGCUGAUUAGCUUGUUGGUGAGGUAAUGGCUCACCAAGGCGACGAUCAGUAUCUGGUUUGAGAGGACGAUCAGACACACUGGAACUGAGACACGGUCCAGACUCCUACGGGAGGCAGCAGUGGGGAAUUUUCCGCAAUGGGCGAAAGCCUGACGGAGCAAUACCGCGUGAGGGAUGACGGCCUAUGGGUUGUAAACCUCUUUUUUCAGGGAGGAAUCAAUGACGUGUACCUGAAGAAUAAGCAUCGGCUAACUCCGUGCCAGCAGCCGCGGUAAGACGGAGGAUGCAAGUGUUAUCCGGAAUCACUGGGCGUAAAGCGUCUGUAGGUGGUCUAGUAAGUCAACUGUUAAAUCUUGAGGCUCAACUUCAAAAUCGCAGUCGAAACUAUUAGACUAGAGUAUAGUAGGGGUAAAGGGAAUUUCCAGUGGAGCGGUGAAAUGCGUAGAGAUUGGAAAGAACACCGAUGGCGAAGGCACUUUACUGGGCUAUUACUGACACUGAGAGACGAAAGCUAGGGUAGCAAAUGGGAUUAGAUACCCCAGUAGUCCUAGCCG